GGCUAGCGGGCUCACAUAACAGAAAUAAGUGCAAUAGAACUAACUAACUAUAUCUAUAUAGAAUCUAUAUCUAUAUAGAAUGUUUUUUUUAUUAUAUAUUAUAUUAUACUUAUUUAUAGCAGUUAGUUAUAGCAGAUUAGAUUAAUCAUAUUAGAGCAGAUCGGUACUAAGGAAAGGAUAAGAUAAGGAUGCAAUCCAGAUCAUAAUGAGACAUUUCUCUGGUUUCAUUCAGAAAGGGGGGAGGUAGAACGAAAAAAAAAAAAUGAAUAUCGACCGUUCCAGUAUUCAAAAUCGCGCGGGAAAAAUGAGAGGGGGGGAAGGUAUGUAUAUGUGGGAUAUCUCUAUCCAUAUUGAAUUGCAGAUACAUCAAUGAUAGAAUCAUUUCUGAUGGGACCAAAUACGGGUCUUCCGAUAGAGAAUAUGGACAAGAAAUCAAAAUAAAAUCAUUAAAAUAAUAAAAUAGGAGUAGACCCUUUUUCGAUAUUAGGAAUCAGUAUCUAAUGAAUUCAACGGUUCUGACAUAAAUAAAUGAAAGAGGGGGAUGGGAUCACAAU
RNAcentral lists this unclassified non-coding RNA (554 nucleotides) under Chlorocardium venenosum. RNAcentral describes it as "trnT-trnL intergenic spacer region". Lineage: Eukaryota; Viridiplantae; Streptophyta; Magnoliopsida; Laurales; Lauraceae. The record is from RNAcentral.